GCCUGGGUGGCUCAGCUGGUUAAGCGUCUGACUUCUGAUUUCAGCUCAGGUCAUGAUCUCGCAGUUUGUGGGUUCGAGCCCCACACUGGGCU
Molecule: transfer RNA, 92 nt
Filed under: Felis catus (domestic cat)
Lineage: Eukaryota; Metazoa; Chordata; Mammalia; Carnivora; Felidae
Rfam family: tRNA
About the family: Transfer RNA (tRNA) molecules are approximately 80 nucleotides in length. Their secondary structure includes four short double-helical elements and three loops (D, anti-codon, and T loops). Further hydrogen bonds mediate the characteristic L-shaped molecular structure. tRNAs have two regions of fundamental functional importance: the anti-codon, which is responsible for specific mRNA codon recognition, and the 3' end, to which the tRNAs corresponding amino acid is attached (by aminoacyl-tRNA synthetases). tRNAs cope with the degeneracy of the genetic code in two manners: having more than one tRNA (with a specific anti-codon) for a particular amino acid; and 'wobble' base-pairing, i.e. permitting non-standard base-pairing at the 3rd anti-codon position.
Source: Rfam by way of RNAcentral